ACCUACGGGACGCAGCAGUGGGGAAUAUUGCACAAUGGGGGAAACCCUGAUGCAGCGACGCCGCGUGAGUGAAGAAGUAUCUCGGUACGUAAAGCUCUAUCAGCAGGGAAGAAAAAAAGUCUUUGGCUUUGGACGGUACCUGACUAAGAAGCCCCGGCUAACUACGUGCCAGCAGCCGCGGUAAUACGUAGGGGGCAAGCGUUAUCCGGAUUUACUGGGUGUAAAGGGAGCGUAGGCGGCUGUGUAAGCCAGAAGUGAAAGCCCGAGGCUCAACCACGGGACUGCUUUUGGAACUACAUGGCUUG
Molecule: ribosomal RNA, 305 nt
Filed under: uncultured bacterium
Lineage: Bacteria
Description: bacterial SSU rRNA
Rfam family: Bacterial small subunit ribosomal RNA
Source: RNAcentral